RNAcentral lists this transfer RNA (63 nucleotides) under Hylastes opacus. Its description in RNAcentral is "tRNA-Glu". The record is from RNAcentral. Lineage: Eukaryota; Metazoa; Arthropoda; Insecta; Coleoptera; Curculionidae.
AUUUAUAUAGUUUAUUUAAAACAUUACAUUUUCACUGUAAAAAUAAAUUUUAUUUUAUAAAUA